GACUCAGGAUGAUGGGAUCUGCAGUUCUCCCUCAUCCGGAGCCUCUCAACGCACCUGUCAAGGACAGAAGGAGAUGCGCCAUUGAGCGCUCAGCCCCCACGUUGCUGCUCCUCCGUUGUCGUCGGCACUUAUUAUUUACAUCCACCGGCAGCUGUGUCCUGGGGCUAUUUUUAGCCUUUUAUUGCUGAUUGUCACUUCAAUGAUAUGGGCAGUUAACUUGGCCAUUGUGAAGUUAACACAGCUCUCUGGAGGCUGGUGAUCCACCUGCCUCCAUGACAAGUAGCAAGGCAUGGAGACCAUUAGGUGCUCCAACAUACAUCACACCAGCCAGAUAUUAGAAGGUCGGGGCUCAGGGACAGGGCUCUGCUGAGAAAUUGCUGGAAAUCAUCAAGUCUGCCUGGUAAUUUGAAAGGGAAAUUAAACGGCCUGAUAGCAUCCA
This is a long non-coding RNA of Anolis carolinensis (green anole), 439 nucleotides long. RefSeq lists it as uncharacterized. Lineage: Eukaryota; Metazoa; Chordata; Lepidosauria; Squamata; Anolidae. The transcript is spliced from 2 exons. The record is from RefSeq and is a predicted model, not a curated record.